AACGUAGGAGACAAACGUUAUCCGGAGUUACUGGGCGUAAAGGGCGUGUAGGUGGUUUCGUAAGUCUGGCGUGAAAUUUUUCGGCUUAACCGGGAAAGGACGUCGGAUACUGCGGAGCUAGAGGACGGUAGAGGCGUGUGGAAUUCCGGGUGUAGUGGUGAAAUGCGUAGAGAUCCGGAGGAACACCAGUGGCGAAGGCGACACGCUGGGCCGUACCUGACACUGAUGCGCGACAGCAUGGGGAGCAAACAGG
RNAcentral lists this ribosomal RNA (253 nucleotides) under uncultured bacterium. Its description in RNAcentral is "partial 16S ribosomal RNA". It matches the Rfam family "Bacterial small subunit ribosomal RNA", at positions 524 to 776 of the family's 1533-position model. The record is from RNAcentral.